This 316-nucleotide unclassified non-coding RNA is filed under the name uncultured Naganishia. RNAcentral's name for it is "sequence contains ITS2". The stretch from base 1 to 53 matches the Rfam family "5.8S ribosomal RNA", at positions 102 to 154 of the family's 154-position model. Lineage: Eukaryota; Fungi; Basidiomycota; Tremellomycetes; Filobasidiales; Filobasidiaceae. The record is from RNAcentral.
UAACGCACCUUGCGCUCCUUGGUAUUCCGAGGAGCAUGCCUGUUUGAGUGUCAUGAAAACCCUCAACCUUAGAUUGGUUAUUUGACCUUUCUUUGGCUUGGAUUUGGACGUUUGCCGAUGAUAAGUCGGCUCGUCUUAAAAGUAAUAGCUGGAUCUGUCUCGCGACAUGGUUUGACUUGGCGUAAUAAGUAUUUCGCUAAGGACAUCUUCGGAUGGCCCUGUUGCAGACUAAAGACCGCUUUCUAAUCCAUUGAUCUUCGGAUUAAUAUUCAUAACAUCUGGCCUCAAAUCAGGUAGGACUACCCGCUGAACUUAA